RNAcentral lists this ribosomal RNA (491 nucleotides) under uncultured bacterium. Its description in RNAcentral is "partial 16S ribosomal RNA". It matches the Rfam family "Bacterial small subunit ribosomal RNA", at positions 29 to 507 of the family's 1533-position model. The record is from RNAcentral.
AGUGAACGCUGGCGGUAGGCCUAACACAUGCAAGUCGAACGGCAGCACAGUAAGAGCUUGCUCUUACGGGUGGCGAGUGGCGACGGGUGAGGAAUACAUCGGAAUCUACUUUUUCGUUGGGGAUAACGUAGGGAAACUUACGCUAAUACCGCAUACGACCUACGGGUGAAAGCAGGGGAUCUUCGGACCUUGCGCGAUUGAAUGAGCCGAUGUCGGAUUAGCUAGUUGGCGGGGUAAAGGCCCACCAAGGCGACGAUCCGUAGCUGGUCUGAGAGGAUGAUCAGCCACACUGGAACUGAGACACGGUCCAGACUCCUACGGGAGGCAGCAGUGGGGAAUAUUGGACAAUGGGCGCAAGCCUGAUCCAGCCAUACCGCGUGGGUGAAGAAGGCCUUCGGGUUGUAAAGCCCUUUUGUUGGGAAAGAAAAGCAGCAGGUUAAUACCCCGCUGUUCUGACGGUACCCAAAGAAUAAGCACCGGCUAACUUCGUG